This 84-nucleotide ribosomal RNA is filed under the name Pasteurella multocida. The record is from RNAcentral. Lineage: Bacteria; Pseudomonadati; Pseudomonadota; Gammaproteobacteria; Pasteurellales; Pasteurellaceae. RNAcentral also lists the same sequence under 1 other name.
CUUGGCGGCGAUAGUGCAGUGGACCCACCUAAUUCCAUGCCGAACUUAGAAGUGAAACGCUGUAACGCCGAUGGUAGUGUGGGG